Molecule: long non-coding RNA, 627 nt
Organism: Oncorhynchus gorbuscha (pink salmon)
Lineage: Eukaryota; Metazoa; Chordata; Actinopteri; Salmoniformes; Salmonidae
Exons: 3
Source: RefSeq, a predicted model, not a curated record
UAAAACCCCAAACAGCAAGCAAUGCAGGUGUAGAAGCAGACUUGUACAUUUUUCUAAAAAGUAUCUUUGUUUCUUUUAAGAGAGAAAGAAGAAAAGAAGAAGACAGUGGUCCUUGUCAAACCCAAAGCCAUAUAUGAAGACUUGGACAGUUUCUCUGCUACAUAUCUCAAUAUUUACCUUUCAACCGUCAAGAUUUCUAAUGUUUUCCUCCAAUUUCCAUGAGGGCAAGUAAACUUCGACGUGAUUGGAUAAGAUCUUCUUCUUCACCACAGAAAGAUAUGCUUUUGGCGCGUGCAGUCUCAACUCAUUUGGGGUGUGCUGCCCCCUACUGUGCUGGAGUGGACUAGUCGCUGCACUGGCCACCCUCCCCAGAUCCUCCCCCGCCACAUCCUGUACUAUUCUCCAUCCCUGGGUAUCCGGCAUGGCAGGGCUUGUCCAGGAAGUUUGAAGGCCCGCUGGGGCCCUGAAAUGGAGCCCAGCCGUGGCAACUCCAGCAGCCCAUUGCAUGGGGAACCCUGCCGGUGGUGCCUCCUGCUGGAUCACAAUGUGGUGUUUACUGGGGUUAGAGUAGGACUGAGGGGGCUGGAUAGGGUAAGGCUGAGGGGGGUAGAGGGACUGAGCGUGCUG